RNAcentral lists this ribosomal RNA (468 nucleotides) under uncultured bacterium. RNAcentral describes it as "partial 16S ribosomal RNA". It matches the Rfam family "Bacterial small subunit ribosomal RNA", at positions 28 to 507 of the family's 1533-position model. The record is from RNAcentral.
GACGAACGCUGGCGGCGUGCUUAACACAUGCAAGUCGAACGGAAAGGCCCUGCUUUUGUUGGUUUCUCGAGUGGCGAACGGGUGAGUAACACGUGAGUAACCUGCCCUUGACUUUGGGAUAACUUCAGGAAACUGGGGCUCAUACCCGAUAGGAUCUUCUGCUGCACGGUGGUGGUUGGAAAGUUUCGGCGGUUGGGGAUGGACUCGCGGCUUAUCAGCUUGUUUGUCGGGUAGUUGCGUACCAAGGCUUUGACGGGUAGGCGGCCUGAGAGGGUGACCAGCCACAUUGGGACUGAGAUACGGAGCAGUCGCCUAUGGGAGGCAGCAGUGGGGAGUAUGGCACAGUGGGCGGAAGCCUGAUGCAGCGACGCCGCGUGCGGAAUGACGGGCUUCGGGUUGUAAACCGAUUUCGCAUGUAACGAAGCGUGAGUGACGGUAAUGAGUAAAGAAGCACCGGCUAACUACGUG